AACAGAUCACCUCCUGGUCGGAACGCAGGUCGUACAUCUUGCAGCUGCAGUCGUCGGAGCCUGUGAUGAUGGCGUUUCCACUGGGGAAGAACUGAGGCAGGGGAGAAAAAGAGGAUGCUCACAGAGAUGGCGUUGAUGUCGCUGGUGUGUCCGCUGAAGGUCUGCUUGCAGGUCCCUUCCCUCAGGUCCCACAGCUUGGCCAGAGAGUCGCAGGCUCCAGAGAUGAAGGUGUUCAUGUCGGAGGACAUAGCCAGCGUCAUGCAGUCUCCAAUGUGGUGGUGUCACCAGAGGCUGUCAGGAUCUCGGUGUCGCUAAGGAAACGGGCGCAAGACAGGUAACCUGGGAGGGAGAGAGACAGCCGAGCAUUCAGUCAGCAUCCUCAUCUGUCCAUCUGUC
Long non-coding RNA from Seriola aureovittata, 396 nucleotides. RefSeq lists it as uncharacterized. The record is from RefSeq and is a predicted model, not a curated record. The transcript has 3 exons. Lineage: Eukaryota; Metazoa; Chordata; Actinopteri; Carangiformes; Carangidae.